UUUUAGCCCUGAUGGUAGUGGAGUCCUUUUUAUAAAGCUUUUUUUCUUUAUAAAAAGAUAUAGUGGACAGCAGGAAACUAU
Molecule: small RNA, 81 nt
Filed under: Flavobacterium sp. 5
Lineage: Bacteria; Pseudomonadati; Bacteroidota; Flavobacteriia; Flavobacteriales; Flavobacteriaceae
Description: Flavo-1 RNA
Rfam family: Flavo-1 RNA
Source: RNAcentral